Molecule: transfer RNA, 62 nt
Filed under: Tomocerus caputiviolaceus
Lineage: Eukaryota; Metazoa; Arthropoda; Collembola; Entomobryomorpha; Tomoceridae
Description: tRNA-Thr
Source: RNAcentral
GUUUUUAUAGUUUAUCAAAAAUAUUGGUCUUGUAAACCAAAGAUUAAUUUUUUAUAAAAACU